CGGAAGCGAAAGCCUCUCCACCUCUUCCGAGCGGGGUCACGGCCCGGCCGUCGGUAACCUGGUUUCCGAGAGUGCCGGGCGGUCGGCGGGUCAGGGCAGCCCGGGGCCUGACGCCAUGUCCCGGAACCUGCGCACCGCGCUCAUUUUCGGCGGCUUCAUCUCCCUGAUCGGCGCCGCCUUCUAUCCCAUCUAUUUCCGGCCCCUAAUGAGAUUGGAGGAGUACAAAGAAACCUGGAUUCUAGCAAUCGCUGGGUGCCUGGCACUGUGCUGGGUGUGGACUGCACCUAACCAAACAGCAUGAGAAGGAACAAGCUAUAAAUCGGGCUGGAAUUGUUCAAGAGGAUGUGCAGCCACCAGGGUUAAAAGUGUGGUCUGAUCCAUUUGGCAGGAAAUGAGAGGGCUGUCAUCAGCUCUGAUUAAGAAAGGAGAUUUCUUCAUGCUUUAGAUUCUGCAUGGGGUACAGUCAGUCACCUCACCAGAGAAUGACGGCUGGAGAAGAAAACUCUGUAAUACCAUAAAUAAGAGUGCUUGUAAUAAAAGACUGUGCACAAGGAUUAAUAUUUCCCUUCUUAAGUAUCAAAAGAACUCUGGAACAAAUUAUACCAUUAGGAAGGUUUUCAUGAUUCAGUUGAUUUUUCCAAAAAUGAAGCUAUCUCACCCAGCUGGGUUUGGAGGAGCAAUCUGCUUAUUAUUCUGUCGUUACCACUUACUCAAGCGAGCUGUGAUAUGAAUACAAGCAACCAGUGGGCUCGGGAAGGUCCGGGUCUCUUUUGCCAUCUUCCAGAUAAGAGAUUUCAGUAAAAAACUGCCAUGCUGAGCUGCCUUAUAGAGCUCUUCGAAAAUGUUCGAGUUGAUAAAGCUCUUUGAGGACAAGGUACUUCGUGCACCUCAUGCUGAAGAUUGCACCAUGUUGGAAAAUAAAUAUGAAGCAAGUCAAACUAGAUGCAUACACUUGUGUAGAAAUCAAUAAUCAAUUAAUAGAAGUGAAAAAAUAGACAUUAAAAUGAUUUAUUUCUA
This is an RNA transcript of Pan troglodytes (chimpanzee), 1017 nucleotides long. It is a transcript of the gene named small integral membrane protein 20, with no coding region annotated. The transcript is spliced from 4 exons. The record is from RefSeq and is a predicted model, not a curated record. NCBI's taxonomy places the organism in Eukaryota, Metazoa, Chordata, Mammalia, Primates, Hominidae.